Picea glauca (white spruce) is the source of this 159-nucleotide non-coding RNA. NCBI's taxonomy places the organism in Eukaryota, Viridiplantae, Streptophyta, Pinopsida, Pinales, Pinaceae. The record is from Rfam.
GAUAACAGGUUGAUCUUCCCCAAGAGUUCACAUCGAUGUGAAGGUUUGGUAUCUUAUUGUUGACUCUUUGCCACCUAGGGUAGUCAUAUGUUUUAAAGGUUGGUUUGUUCACCCAUUAAAGUGAUAUGUGAUCUAGCUUAGGCAUUUCUCAAAUAUGCU